Bicyclus anynana (squinting bush brown) is the source of this 3418-nucleotide long non-coding RNA. RefSeq lists it as uncharacterized. The record is from RefSeq and is a predicted model, not a curated record. Lineage: Eukaryota; Metazoa; Arthropoda; Insecta; Lepidoptera; Nymphalidae. The transcript has 3 exons.
AAUUCUCGUUGUUUGAGAUACAGGCAGUCUGGAGGACAGAGCCUCUCAUUUUUUAAUCACAGAAAGGUACCUAAGAUUAAACUUUGAUUUAUCUUAACAAUAGAAAUGAAAAUAAACAGAUAUUCUAAGCAUGCAAUUAGUAAGAAGAAAUAAAACUGAAAUGAAACUUGUUCCAAAUAAAAGUUUAAUGACGGUGUAGUUAUGUACCGCCGCGCGCCGUGCCGCGGCUCAGUAACGACUGACUUGUCAUCGCCACGGUUUUAAUGUUUGAGCCUUGAGGUCGUUAAGUUUUAUUGCGGCACUGACUGACGAGCCAGUCGAGCCUGUGCCGGCGCUGACGUCGCGUUGCAUCGUAUCGUGUCGUGUCGAGUUGCGUCGCGUCGUGUCGCGUCGUGUCGUAUCGUGUGGCAGCGCGGUGGCGGUGGGCGCGGUGUCGACAGUACGUCGCUAUCUCGCGCCGUGUUUGUUUGUCCCAAUCAUUACCGCGCCGAUAAAACGUCGCCGCUUUAUCUUUGAUCUACUUUGUUAAACCUAUACCUAAUCAUCGUUUACUGUAUUUGAUUUCGGUAUCAAUAAUGUUGGCCUUAAAUUUUAUUUGUACAACAAUUUAAAAUGUCACGUUUAUAUUACAUUGAGAAUAUGUUCGGUUUUGAUCUAUCACGUAUGUAAAUUAAAGAUAUCCACCGAACGACUCGCUGCUUCGGACAUACUCGAGUAUGAAGACGCCGAUGGCACCACGCACACAAUGAGUAAACCAUCUGAUGAUACAAUUAUUCCAGCAGCAGUUCCCGGAGCUACGUCGGGUCGCCGCUGAGGGCGGGCGGCAGUCAGGGCGGCGGGCGGCAGUCAGGGCGGAGGGCGGCAGUCAGGGCGGCGGGCGGCAGUCAUGGCGGCGGGCGGCAGUCAGGGCGGCGGGCGGACGCUGAUGACAUUUUUAACUAGUGCGCGGAAAGUCGGCCGAACGAGCUGACUGUAUUACUUUUAGAAAAUUAGAGUAACUCGAUAAAAUUUCAAGUUUAUAUUUAAUUAAUCGUUGAUCAAUUAAUUAAAAAUAAACUUGAUAAAAUAAAAAAAACUGCAUCUUUAUAUUUUACCUAAAGUUUGACUAUAGUAUUCCACGAGCUCAUCAGUCAGCCGUCGCCGUGACUCGCGUUUGUCACUACGCUGCCACACCACGCCACACACCGCGAACAUCGGCGCCAUCGCCAGUAGCCAGUGGCCAGCCAAUUAGUUAUAUACCUUUAAGUACCUAGUUCUACGAAUUUCACUGAUCCACUCAACGAGCAGGCGUCAGCGCUGUGCCGUUGUUAGUUAUUUCCAUAGAAAUCGAUAUAACAAGGCGACGGACACGACGCGGUCGGCGGCCCACUCGACUACAGAGAGCUGCUGGCAGAGUUGUUGACUCAGGAUUUAAGUGUGACAGUUGAGACAUAAUGUAAUUUUUAUUUUGGACCUAUAAGUCACUUUUGCGGUGACAAAUUUACGCAUACGAGUACUUCCUAUCUACGUGCAGUCGAGGGCACCUCGUCGAGUAUUCCGCGGUGAAGGAUGGAUCACAUCGCUCCCUGCCUGUCCCUUCGCCUGCCGUGCGACGUGCGACGUGCCUGACCGCCCGGACGCUGAUGUGAUAAGUUUGACAGCAGAUUGUAGUCACGAGCGGUACAGAUGUUCAGGGCUUUGUGUAUGAUUGGACCGAUUUGAUUGUUUUUUAAAUUCUCGCUUUUUAAUUUUAUUUUUCUUUUACAUGAGAAUCCCCCAUCCCAUGUCUUAAAAUCUCGUUCUAUUCGCAAUCCAAUAAAAAAUAAAUAAAAAAUGAACGCAUUCCACAGACAAGAACGAUGCAUUUCAUUUCAAUUUAAAGUUUUUUAUUUAUUUUUCAAAACAAUCAGGGCCUUACCAAAACAAAAUUAUGACUUCACUUCUCAUCUCGCAACUUCAGUCCCGUCGUGACCACGAUCCAUGCAACAGGGUCGAAAUAUCGACAAUAAAAAUCUCGUCGUUUUAUCGUGGUACAUGAAUGCAGCAUGUGAGAGCACAUCCUUACGGUGCAGUGGGACACUCGCCGGUGACUCGGCCGCAAGCCGCAAGCCGCAAGCCGCGCCGAGUUCAUUUCCUCUGCCGCAAGUGACUUAGCAUCGAAAGGAAAUCGCCUCGCCGGCUGCUCCGAUAUCGCCUUUCAGUGCACAACUGCACAGGGCGACCGGCGGGAGGUUUGCUGCCUAUUCACAUUAAAAACUAUUCAAAAAUAACUAAUGGAAGCGAGAAAAUAACUAAACUGUUCUAGUAGAUCUAGACAGGGAUCACGUUUAAAAAUACAAUUAUCAAAAAUAUAUUUUAAUAAUGUACAAAUUACAAAUUGCUUGUCUACAAACUUUACGCACCGGUUCAAUUACAUUACAAAUACAUAUUAUACUCGACAAAACUACUACUUCUUUUUUCAAUUAAUUGCCGACUUUCCGUUAACAUGUAGCGACUCCUUUCCCUCUCGAUGUGCCAGUCGCUCCUCAGGUACUGAGUGAGGGAGUACUGUGGAGGUGCCUCACGUAUCCCAUCGCGCUGCUCACUCUUUAACACCAGUUAAGUAACAACAACUGCUCACGUAUAAGUUAAGUUAAUUAACAACUUAACUUGAAAAUCGUUACAAUACAGUAAGUAAGUACAAGAAGGUGCGUAAAAUUUAAAAAUAGUUUUAUACAUACAGCUGCAUUUUUAAUUUAGUAGCCGCGCGCCGCCCACGGCCGCCGAGGGUCGUCGACCCUCACCAAUUAGCGCGAGUUAGUGAGAGUUAGCGCGAGUUAGCGAGAGUUAGCGCCCACCGCGCGCCCACUGCCCAGCGGAGUUGCCCAACCCGCAGCGCAGCGCUGUUGCAAUGCUCGAACAGACCAAAGCCCGCGUAAUGAGGAAAGGCCGCGCGAAGUCGUCGCCGUGGCCUAGCGAGCAUGACUCACACUAGCACUGCGUCGCGACUGCACAUUAAACACACUCUUGAUAACAAUUCUCCUCCAAGAAGUCAUGAAGACUAAUGUUAGGACUGAGGAAUUAGUACGACAUAGCCUUAAAGACGAGGCUCAUUCCAUCCAUAGUUUUUAGGCGUUGAGUUUAUUGAGGCCUUAGCUUCGUGUACUGAAUUAAUCACUGUCUGUGGAGAGGCAGAGCGCAGGCAGUCGUGGUAGAGCUGUAAGUGCCGCGUGUCGAGUGACGCGGCGCCCGGCGGCGGGCGGCGAGAGGCGUGUUCGUUGCACUAGUGGUCAAGUAGGCAUGACAUGGGCUGUGACGCGUUUGUGUUUUUCUACUUCUGCUCGUUAUAUGAUAUAAACACUGAACCGUGACGCGCUGUACGUCCAACUUCAGCAGCUGCAGGUAGUCUCCUCCACAUAUCAUAAUACGACAGAUUGCUGUCGUUCGUGUCAAAUAAAGU